This 181-nucleotide ribosomal RNA is filed under the name uncultured bacterium. RNAcentral describes it as "partial 16S ribosomal RNA". It matches the Rfam family "Bacterial small subunit ribosomal RNA", at positions 1320 to 1500 of the family's 1533-position model. The record is from RNAcentral.
AUGAAGUCGGAGUUGCUAGUAAUCNCGGAUCAGCAUGCCGCGGUGAAUACGUUCCCGGGCCUUGUACACACCGCCCGUCACACCAUGGGAGUUGGGAGUGCCCAAAGCCGGUGAGGCAACCUUCGGGAGCCAGCCGUCUAAGGCAAGACCAAUGACUGGGGUGAAGUCGUAACAAGGUAUC